CCUACGGGAGGCAGCAGUGAGGAAUAUUGGUCAAUGGACGAGAGUCUGAACCAGCCAAGUAGCCUGAAGGAUGACUGCCCUAUGGGUUGUAAACUUCUUUUAUAAAGGAAUAAAACGAGGCACGUGUGCCUUUUUGCAUGUACUUUAUGAAUAAGGAUCGGCUAACUCCGUGCCAGCAGCCGCGGUAAUACGGAGGAUCCGAGCGUUAUCCGGAUUUAUUGGGUUUAAAGGGAGCGUAGAUGGGUUGUUAAGUCAGUUGUGAAAGUUUGCGGCUCAACCGUAAAAUUGCAAUUGAUACUGGCAGUCGUGAGUACAGUUGAGGUAGGCGGAAUUCGUGGUGUAGCGGUGAAAUGCUUAGAUAUCACGAAGAACCCCGAUUGCGAAGGCAGCUUACUAAACUGUGACUGACAUUGAUGCUCGAAAGUGUGGGUAUCAAACAGGAUUAGAUACCCCUGUAGUC
This 460-nucleotide ribosomal RNA is filed under the name uncultured bacterium. RNAcentral's name for it is "partial 16S ribosomal RNA". It matches the Rfam family "Bacterial small subunit ribosomal RNA", at positions 338 to 795 of the family's 1533-position model. The record is from RNAcentral.